Long non-coding RNA from Numida meleagris (helmeted guineafowl), 4999 nucleotides. RefSeq lists it as uncharacterized. The transcript is spliced from 3 exons. Lineage: Eukaryota; Metazoa; Chordata; Aves; Galliformes; Numididae. The record is from RefSeq and is a predicted model, not a curated record.
CUCAAAUGUUGCCAAGGGUGGAGGUUGCACAACUGCUCUGAGCAGCCUUUAUCCAAGCUUAACAACUCUCCUUGCAAGGACCCAGUGUCUGCUGAAUAGGAACAUCCAAGUGACUUCAAAGGCAGCUGGACUAUGGCCUAGGCGUUUCCCAUGGGGGCUUUCACAAGGGAUGCAGAACUCUGCAGUCACCUGCUGCUCCCAAGGAACCAGAUGUUCGUGCAGCGUGCUUGCUGCCGGCUGAGCUCUGAAUACAUGGACCUCUGCUGGGAACUCACUGAAGAUUUCCUAAAAUGCUGUUUGUUUCAGCACGGGUGUCACAAAGUUGAGGAAUGAAUCCAAAUUUGACCCUCAGGAGGCAAGGAGCCUGUAGAAUGGAAUUGGACCCUACUGCAUAAAGAAUUGUAAAAGUAUGGAAGAUGGUUCCCUUUCAAUGAGCUUACAGCUGGGUACACAAGACCUUUUGAGAAGAAGUGGGAAAGAACUAGGUAAGAAGUAGCAGUCAGUGGUUACAGCAUCUUGGUUGCCGUAUUACAUCAGGUUUGGUGUUUUGCCAUUUUAGCAUUUGCCAUUGGGCUCGAGGAGGAUUUUGAAGAAAGACAAAAUGAUUUGUACCUGUGAAGCGGCUGGAAGAAAGCAUGGCAGUGCUUCUUGACAAAUGAGCAGGCAGCACAGUCUGGCAGCAUGGGCAGGGAGGUGGGUGAGGAUGCAGCAGUGGCAAACCUGAGAGAGUCUGUGAUGUCCCUGAAGGUGAAGUUGGUAGCAACAAUUAGGUGUGACUGAAAAUGGAGAGCUAGCUGAGAGAGAUAAAGAAAAGGAGGAAAGGGUCAGUCAGAAGAUGAUGAUGAUGAUCUUAUAACAGUACUCUCAAUUGACCUAAACAAGCCAAGAUUGCAUUUGCCAGGCCAAGGAAGCUCCUGUAAAGACAAAAUGUGUGAGGCUCCUGUUAGGACAUGAGAUGGGUGCCUAGAUAUGAAUAUUUAGGUGCAGAUGUGGGUAAGAAAGUCUGUAAUUUUCAAACUAUUCUGCAAAAUAAAAUUGGCAAGAUUUACAUGUAAUCAGGGUAAGAGAAUCUCUGGAGGGCUCUGAUUCUAGGCAGUUUUCAAACUUUUCUACCUCUGUAUGCUAGUGAGACAGCCAGGUACCAGGUAACAAAGUAGAGAGAAGCAUUUUUGUAAUAUUUUAGUGGUUGGACAAGGAGCACAAUUACUUGUAGAAGGUCAAGAGGUAUUGAGGAAGAGUACGAGCUGUGAUCUUAAAAGUCAUUUCUUUUGGAGCACUAAGUAAAUGUUUCUCCUACCAAGAAAAAUACCCCAUAAAAUCACCUUUUCUUUAUCCUUGUGUGAAAGUUGAAUGACAAGCGUAUGAAAAGAUUCAAGAAUGAAAUUUAAGGAAAUUGAGAAAACAUAUAGAUUAAAGAUAAAAGUAUGCAUUUGGGUAAUCACUUAGGACUUAUUUCAUAAGAUUUUUAAUGAAUAUGAAAAAAACAAUCUCAGUUUUAUGGUUAGCUCUUUAACUCGUGUAAAUAUUGAGUCAAUCCGAUACACAGGCGUUGAGAUCAAUGUUUUUAGUACUACACCGCCCGAGAACUGUUCACAUGGAGUAAUGAUGACCUCUUGUGGUCACACGGUUAAAUUUCACAUCCCGUUUAUUAAGGAGUUUGACUUUUUAUUGAAUUUGUGCAAACCAAAAGUUACGGCAGUGUGCUAGCCUACAGGGAAGUACCGUAUUUUCACUCUUUAUGUUAACUUAAGUACAGAGACGAAAAAUUCUGCAUUAGAUGGUUGGUGAAAAAUGUAUUCCUUUCUUGCAUGUAAAUAAUCUAACUUACGUUCAGGUUGGCUUGUGUUUCUAACAAUACUUCAUGCUCAGUAUGUUCCCUAAGAGUUAGAAAAUUAUCUAUAAUAAUACAAAACAUUUAUGUUAUUUAAGUUUAAGCUGUUCAUGUUCAACUAUAAUCUGAAAGUUAAAACUCUUUUGACUGGCUUGAAACUGGGAUUAAGCCCUCCGUGGGAUUGAGAAGACAGUAGAAAAAUUUCUAAUUCACUAUAUUGGUGAAGGAGCACAUCUAAACCUUGGAAUAAUCUUGGGAAGCAAGUCUUUGUUCAGAACAUGGAUAUAGGCUUUGUUCCCAUUGGGUAUCAUUGUAACUCAGAGCAAAAUUCAGAGGCUGAACUGAGGUACUUGGAGGCAUAUAUUUCUGGUGGCUGAUGCUAGCACAAUGCAAGGAUCUUGGGCUCCAAGAUUUAAGACAGUCACUUGUGGAAGGUAGUAUAACACGAACUGGAAGCAACAAAGGGGAAAGAUCCCCUCACACUGAUUUAUCGUAGGGCUUUUCGUACCUUCCAGUGUGUUACCUUGUUUUAGCCAUACAGAAGUUGGAUGCUGUUCUGGAUUGUAUGGCUUCUAAAAUCCAUCCAUUUCCAAGGUCCUGUGAAUAAGUCACCGUGUUGAGCAUCAGAAAAAAUAGAACGCCAGAAGAAAACAAUUUUCUUUCUGUACAAAUCACUCUGCUACACAUGAAGGUAGCAUAGAUAGUUCCUAAAUGAAGAGAAGAUGUUGCCACUAUCUGUGGUACUGCAGCAUACCAAGUAUGUGAUUUGUUUAUUUUCCACCUACUCUAGUGGCUGUGUCUCCAGGGCUAGUGGGCUCAGUGUUCUAGUGGCAUUACCCAGCCAGUUGUCCAGGACUAAUCAUGGCCCACAGGACCUCUGUGGUCCUGCAGUUCAGAAAGACAGAGUAAUGCUGCAGUAUUGCUACUUCUUGGAAGCUUGCAGCUUACUUUAAAAUGCUGCGAGGGAACAGAUAUUGGUCCAAUCUCUGGCAUCAGGCAAAGCAGCCUGAAGCAACUUAUGAGAGCAGACAGUUCCUCAGGGCGAUGACCCACAGCCACAGAUGAGCUCUGAGGAUGUCCAUAAAAUUCCUCACACAGAGGAACUGGCCACCAGGUACCACCUAACUGCCCUAAAAGUUCGAAAUAUAUUCACAGAGGAAGAGGAGCAUUUUUAUGGUGUUGGAUUUUUCCUUCUGCUUUAAAAUAGAGAGGGAAGAUCAAGACAAUUUUUGCUCCGAGAGAAGACACUCAUCCAGAAGACCUUUCAGUAACACAGAAGGUGCCAAUAAAUAGUAAAAAUUAAAGCAAGCAAACAACGACAACAGAAAACAGUUGAGCAUUGGCACAAAACUCACAAGUAUAACUGUCUCUGAAAAUUGCACACAUAGAUACAUCAACAAUCAUAUGAUCUUCCACCACUCUUAAGAGUGUUGAAUAAUUACUUUCAAGAAUGUAAAGUAAAUUUCUCUUUGCCCCUCCAAUGCAGAGCCCUAACUUGACCCUGAGAUGAGGAGAGGCUGUGAGGUUUCUCAUUCCUUGGGGUGGAGAGGAGAGCUCUGCUUUCUCUGGCCACUUGGGAGGUCCUAGCAGACUGAAGGGUUGAGGGCUUCCUGAUAAAUCUUUCAAGCCUCCUGUCUUGCAAAAACUUGCCUAAAGGCUGAUUUUCUAAUAGCUGAUUUUCUUUAAGCUGGACUGUGAAAGGCUUGAAAUCAGAUAAAUAAAAUAUUUCUCUUGGGUCUCUCCAGACUAUUUGGAAGCAAGCAGGCAUUUGGGAAGAGAACUUUUUGGACUACUUGUUGACUUAUACGUGUCAGAUUCAUGAACUGGUAGGUGCAUUCAAUUACCAAACUGAGUGCUCUGUUUAGAACAAAAGCAUUCGAGGCAAAGAAACCAGAACAAGGCCAUGCUAUGCCUAUGAAGGAACUUGGGUACUUUUAUAAAUGCAUAUUUUACAUUUAUAUUUGUUUUUGUCUUCUGCAAUAUCAGCCUUCCCACCUAUUGAAAUGUUUUGCUGUUUUUUAAUUAAUGGAUUGGAUAUUCAGAGGAAAACAGUUUAUAACAGAAGUGGUAUUUGCCUGUGUUCAUGGGUAGCUUCAGAGUCUGCCAAUGAAUUAGUACAAAUCUACUUUGAAGAUCAAAUAGUAGUAUCUAAAGUUUGAGACGUGUAAUGGAGUAGAAGCCCAAUGCAAAUUCUUGAAACGCUAACUAGUUGAAAAGUUACAUUUUUUAAAAAAUGUCUCAUAAAUCAUGGACCUAGGAGUGAUAUUUAGUAUUAAAAUCAAUAUUAACAAUUUAAAUGUUAAUAACAUCAUUAGUGUUGUAAAAAAAUCGGAAUGGGGAAUCAUAAUGGAUUCUCUUACAGGAAUCCUAAUUAGACUUUGCAGUCUUCAACAAAAACAAACAAACCAUGCUGACUGCAGAAAAGCCUUUUCUUCUCCCAAGACAAUGUUAUAAUGAACCAUUAAAUUGACUUGUAUGACAACAAAACUUUUAGUCUCUUUGCAAAAAGAAGCUUUUAGACAAGAUACUGACUAAUGCAUAUGCCAAAUAAAGGUGCAGAGUCAUAAAGGGAUUCGAGUUUUAACUGUCAGACAAAAGGCAGCACUAUUUCAAACUGCUGUGCUCAAUUUUAUGUAACAAACAAACAAAAAGAUUAGAACUAGAAUUUGAUGAGCAAACUUCCUUGAACUGCUUAUUUGCUAAAAGUACAUAUAAAUCUUUCAUCAGUUCUUAUACUGCAUGGACCAUCUUUCUGUCAUUCUAAUUGCAGUGAUAAACAACCAGUAAAUGUACGAGAUAACAGGACAAGAUACAACAGCUAGGACUAUUAUCUAAAAUUUAAAUGCAUUCUCUGAAAUAUUCAACUGUUAAAUCCAGAACACUCAGUUUUCGAAGGCAAGUCUUAAAGGAGGAAAAGUACAAAGGGAAUGAGAAGUGAUAAUAGCCCCAAACCAAUAAAAACUAUCUCAGUUCUAUUGAAUUUUAAAUAACAUCUAUUUGUACUUUUUUCUUUAACUGUGUUCAAAGCCUUCAUAGGCUCUUCAGAGAUCAGGUAAGGAAUAUCCUUCCGCUAAAUUUAAAGAAGGAAUCCAUAAGGAAAAUGAAAAAAAAAAAAAAAGCAAAAUUCUGGGUUUUCAUCUUUUUCAUGUGCUUGGCAUCCUUAGAAUU